RNAcentral lists this small RNA (906 nucleotides) under Rattus norvegicus (Norway rat). RNAcentral describes it as "uncharacterized LOC103691849". The record is from RNAcentral. Lineage: Eukaryota; Metazoa; Chordata; Mammalia; Rodentia; Muridae.
ACAAUAAAGUGCUCACUUCAUAGAAAAUUUCCCAGUUGUCAAUGACUUGGCAACUUUUACCACCUCAAUUGUAGCAAACAGUACAGUGCUGCAACGAACUUCGGUUCAGAUGAUGUUUCUGACAGGAUCUUGCCGUGUAUCUUAACUCCACUAGGCUUUAGUUUCCUAAUUAAUCCAAUGGGAUUAACAACACCUCCCUUGGUUGAUGAGAAUACUUUUGGUAAUGUUUGAUCUAACUUCUAAAGCCCCCACUUUUCUUUCUGCUUACUUCUAGGCUCCACCUCCAGCACUGGCACUCAUAUUGAAAACACACUUUCUUAGGUCCCCAGUGCCUGCCAGCACAGGAUGGGGUGUCCACUCUGUGAGAAGGAGGCUGUACCUAUUUGUUUCUGGUUUUGUCUAAUUGGUGGGCUUAUGCUAAAUGCCUCGAACUGAGUGACAAGGAGGGUCUGGCAUUUCAUUAAAAUUAGGAGGGGAAUCUGAACAUCAAAACGCCAAAGAGGUAACAAGACCUCAGAAGAAAAUGGCUACUUAUCUACAUGGGAAGGAUCUGCGGGGUCCAGGAGAAGCUCCACAAGCUCAAGGAAGAGGCAGAGCUGCAAGGAUGAAAGGGUAACUGGAGAGGGAACACAGCUCUGAAGUGGGCACGCUGCUGAAAAGAAGGCAAGGGAAAGCCCUAUGCAUCCCCACGAGCAUGUUUAAAAUGAUGAGGACGAACUGCUGUACAGAAGGUAGGCACAGGGAGUCCAAUAGACCCAGAGUUAGUGUUGCUUGUCAGUGAGCCUAAAUGAAGACUUCAACCCAGAUUUAAAAACGUAACUAGGAAGGCUUCCUUUGCAGAAAUGAAAUAAGGUCAUAAAUCCUUUGAAAAAUGCCCUAGGUAUACAAAAGCAAGGGAUAUAUAUA